Molecule: regulatory RNA element, 144 nt
Organism: Staphylococcus massiliensis S46
Lineage: Bacteria; Bacillati; Bacillota; Bacilli; Caryophanales; Staphylococcaceae
Rfam family: PyrR binding site
About the family: This family represents the PyrR binding site and terminator structure. This RNA structure is found upstream of a variety of genes involved in pyrimidine biosynthesis and transport.
Source: Rfam
AGCGUCUUUAAAUAAAGUCCAGAGAGGCUUUGAAGACAUGAUGAUAAACGUGAUACGUGUAUACCUAUAGGGAUAAGUAUGCUUAUCUUUAUUUCCAUAUACCUAAAUCCUCAUGUCUCAAAGUAGGCGUGAGGAUUUUUUGUU